RNAcentral lists this long non-coding RNA (247 nucleotides) under Bos indicus x Bos taurus (hybrid cattle). Its description in RNAcentral is "lncRNA (ENSBIXG00000020336.1)". The record is from RNAcentral. Lineage: Eukaryota; Metazoa; Chordata; Mammalia; Artiodactyla; Bovidae.
UAAGGAGGCAGUACUGAUGAGAUUUGGUAAUCCAUAGGAUAUGAGAGGAGUCCUGCAGGUGGCUGGCUGGUCAAGCUGGAAGAGUAGGGUUUGGGUGAUGUCUGCUCUGAGUCACAUUCCGGGACAUGUGAGUAUUUUAGGCUAAAGGAGAAAAGUCCAGUAGACAUGCAGGGAGCCUUCCUCAUGUACUUGAAAGGAAAGACCUGCUCUAUGUUGUUCUUAAAAGGCCAAUAUUUUGAAAUUCCAA